CACCGGGAUUGCCUUAGUAACGGCGAGUGAAGCGGCAAAAGCUCAAAUUUGAAAUCUGGCGUCUUCGACGUCCGAGUUGUAAUUUGAAGAAGGCGACUUUGUAGCUGGUCCUUGUCUAUGUUCCUUGGAACAGGACGUCAUAGAGGGUGAGAAUCCCGUGUGGCGAGGAUCCCAGUUAUUUGUAAAGUGCUUUCGACGAGUCGAGUUGUUUGGGAAUGCAGCUCUAAGUGGGUGGUAAAUUCCAUCUAAAGCUAAAUAUUGGCGAGAGACCGAUAGCGAACAAGUACAGUGAUGGAAAGAUGAAAAGAACUUUGAAAAGAGAGUGAAAAAGUACGUGAAAUUGUUGAAAGGGAAGGGCAUUUGAUCAGACAUGGCGUUUGCUUCGGCUUUCGCUGGGCCAGCAUCAGUUUUAGCGGUUGGAUAAAUCCUCGGGAAUGUGGCUCUGCUUCGGUAGAGUGUUAUAGCCCGUGGGAAUACAGCCAGCUGGGACUGAGGAUUGCGACUUUUGUCAAGGAUGCUGGCGUAAUGGUUAAAUGCCGCCCGUCUUGAAAACACGGACCAA
Molecule: ribosomal RNA, 562 nt
Filed under: Kluyveromyces marxianus
Lineage: Eukaryota; Fungi; Ascomycota; Saccharomycetes; Saccharomycetales; Saccharomycetaceae
Description: partial large subunit ribosomal RNA
Rfam family: Eukaryotic large subunit ribosomal RNA
Source: RNAcentral